Erpetoichthys calabaricus (reedfish) is the source of this 545-nucleotide long non-coding RNA. RefSeq lists it as uncharacterized. Lineage: Eukaryota; Metazoa; Chordata; Cladistia; Polypteriformes; Polypteridae. The record is from RefSeq and is a predicted model, not a curated record. The transcript is spliced from 3 exons.
AAACUUACAGUUCCUCAAAUUCAAAUUGGCACAAACAAUUGUGUUUAAUUUACAGGAUAGGUUAAUUAUUGACUCAGUGAUAAAAUGAGGCCAUGAGAUCUGAAAGACAUUUCCAGUUCCAUAUUGGACAAAGCAUAAAUCAUAUACUGUAGAGCCAGUUUAAAAAAAAAAAUUGAAAAACCAGCAUCAAAUAUGUUAUAACUUAAGGAACUUAAAAUUCUAAAUAAAGCUAGAAAGAAAAGAUCAAAUCUUUAACCCGUGAGGAGGAAAACAGGGCAGGGAAUUAUAGAAUUUAUGAAGAUGAGUUUGGGAACAACAUUCAUCUUGACAAUGACUAGGAAGGGAUGGAAAGACAAAGGAAUAUCCAGUAAUAGUUUAAUUGACAACUUUUUGUCUGAGGUAUAGCGAAAUGUUGAACUGUAGAUCUCAUGUACUGAGCAACACUUUCAUCUCCUGGUCCUUCUCUUUAGAAAUGUAUCUGUCAUUUUCCUGCCAGUGGCCUAACAUUUCUGCUGUGCUCCCUGCUGUUGCAUGGCAAGUUCUCA